GAAGAAGUGACCGAGUGGUUUAAGGUGUUAGUCUUGAAAACUAUUGUAUUUGAAAAAAUACCGGGGGUUCAAAUCCCUCCUUCUUCA
Molecule: transfer RNA, 87 nt
Filed under: Vischeria cf. polyphem
Lineage: Eukaryota; Eustigmatophyceae; Eustigmatales; Chlorobotryaceae
Description: Eustigmatos cf. polyphem tRNA-Ser
Rfam family: tRNA
About the family: Transfer RNA (tRNA) molecules are approximately 80 nucleotides in length.
Source: RNAcentral